GUCGAGAAUAAUUCACAAUGGACGAAAGUCUGAUGGUGCAACGCCGCGUGGAGGAUGACGGUCUUCGGAUUGUAAACUCCUGUCAUCCGGGAGUAAGACCUGGCUGUGAAUAGCAGACAGGGUUGAUAGUACCGGAAGAGGAAGGGACGGCUAACUUCGUGCCAGCAGCCGCGGUAAUACGAAGGUCCCGAGCGUUGUUCGGAAUCACUGGGCGUAAAGGGAGCGUAGGCGGCGUGGUAAGUCAGAUGUGAAAUCCCGGGGCUCAACCCCGGAACUGCAUCCGAUACUGCCAUGCUUGAGGGUUGGAGAGGUAGCUGGAAUUCUCGGUGUAGCAGUGAAAUGCGUGGAUAUCGAGAGGAACACUCGUGGCGAAGGCGAGCUACUGGACAACAUCUGACGCUGAGGCUCGAAGGCCAGGGGAGCAAAAGGGAUUAGAAACCCGUGUAGUCC
This 450-nucleotide ribosomal RNA is filed under the name uncultured bacterium. RNAcentral's name for it is "partial 16S ribosomal RNA". It matches the Rfam family "Bacterial small subunit ribosomal RNA", at positions 354 to 796 of the family's 1533-position model. The record is from RNAcentral.